GAGGUCGCUUCGUAGGUGACCUGCGGAAGGAUCAUUA
Molecule: ribosomal RNA, 37 nt
Filed under: uncultured Cortinarius
Lineage: Eukaryota; Fungi; Basidiomycota; Agaricomycetes; Agaricales; Cortinariaceae
Description: partial 18S ribosomal RNA
Source: RNAcentral